GCCACCAUAGCUCAGUUGGUAGAGCACGUCAUUCGUAAUGACGGGGUCGUCGGUUCAAAUCCGACUGGUGGCU
Molecule: transfer RNA, 73 nt
Filed under: Gemmatimonadota bacterium
Lineage: Bacteria; Pseudomonadati; Gemmatimonadota
Also listed under: 2 other names
Description: Gemmatimonadetes bacterium tRNA-Thr
Rfam family: tRNA
About the family: Transfer RNA (tRNA) molecules are approximately 80 nucleotides in length. Their secondary structure includes four short double-helical elements and three loops (D, anti-codon, and T loops). Further hydrogen bonds mediate the characteristic L-shaped molecular structure. tRNAs have two regions of fundamental functional importance: the anti-codon, which is responsible for specific mRNA codon recognition, and the 3' end, to which the tRNAs corresponding amino acid is attached (by aminoacyl-tRNA synthetases). tRNAs cope with the degeneracy of the genetic code in two manners: having more than one tRNA (with a specific anti-codon) for a particular amino acid; and 'wobble' base-pairing, i.e. permitting non-standard base-pairing at the 3rd anti-codon position.
Source: RNAcentral